This 254-nucleotide ribosomal RNA is filed under the name uncultured bacterium. Its description in RNAcentral is "partial 16S ribosomal RNA". It matches the Rfam family "Bacterial small subunit ribosomal RNA", at positions 524 to 776 of the family's 1533-position model. The record is from RNAcentral.
UACGUAGGCAGCGAGCGUUGUUCGGAAUUACUGGGCGUAAAGAGUGUGUAGGCGGUGCUCUAAGUUCGGUGUGAAAUCUCCCGCUUAACUGGGAGGGUGCGCCGGAAACUGGAGUGCUCGAGCGUGGGAGAGGAAAGCGGAAUUCCUGGUGUAGCGGUGAAAUGCGCAGAUAUCGGGAGGAACACCGGUGGCGAAGGCGGGUUCUCUGGGCCUGACCUGGACGCUGAGGAGCGAAAGCGUGGGGAGCGAACAGG